Molecule: transfer RNA, 77 nt
Filed under: Salibacterium qingdaonense
Lineage: Bacteria; Bacillati; Bacillota; Bacilli; Caryophanales; Bacillaceae
Also listed under: 1 other name
Description: tRNA_Met_CAT
Rfam family: tRNA
About the family: Transfer RNA (tRNA) molecules are approximately 80 nucleotides in length. Their secondary structure includes four short double-helical elements and three loops (D, anti-codon, and T loops).
Source: RNAcentral
CGCGGGGUGGAGCAGUUCGGUAGCUCGUCGGGCUCAUAACCCGGAGGUCGCAGGUUCGAAUCCUGCCCCCGCAACCA